CGUGAGCGGCGGACGGGUGAGUAACGCGUGGGUAACCUGCCUCAUACAGGGGGAUAACAGUUGGAAACGGCUGCUAAUACCGCAUAAGCGCACAGUACCGCAUGGUACGGUGUGAAAAACUCCGGUGGUAUGAGAUGGACCCGCGUCUGAUUAGGUAGUUGGUGGGGUAAAGGCCUACCAAGGCGACGAUCGGUAGCCGGACUGAGAGGUUGAACGGCCACAUUGGGACUGAGACACGGCCCAG
This 244-nucleotide ribosomal RNA is filed under the name uncultured bacterium. RNAcentral describes it as "partial 16S ribosomal RNA". It matches the Rfam family "Bacterial small subunit ribosomal RNA", at positions 90 to 334 of the family's 1533-position model. The record is from RNAcentral.